RNAcentral lists this ribosomal RNA (511 nucleotides) under uncultured fungus. RNAcentral describes it as "bacterial SSU rRNA". It matches the Rfam family "Eukaryotic small subunit ribosomal RNA", at positions 229 to 729 of the family's 1831-position model. Lineage: Eukaryota; Fungi. The record is from RNAcentral.
GCGGUUCGCGUCUCUUGGUGAUUCAUAAUAACUUCUCGAAUCGCAUGGCCUUGUUGGCGGCGAUGCUUCAUUCAAAUAUCUGCCCUAUCCAACUUUCGAUGGUAGGAUAGCAGGCCUACCCAUGGUUUCAACGGGUAACGGGGAAUAAGGGUUCGAUUCCGGAGAGGGAGCCUGAGAAACGGCUACCACAUCCAAGGAAGGCAGCAGGCGCGCAAAUUACCCAAUCCCGACACGGGGAGGUAGUGACAAUAAAUAACAAUAUAGGGCUCAUUUGGGUCUUGAUAAUUGGAAUGAGUACAAUUUAAAUCCCUUAACGAGGAACAAUUGGAGGGCAAGUCUGGUGCCAGCAGCCGCGGUAAUUCCAGCUCCCAAUAGCGUAUAUUCAACAGUUGUUGCAGUUAAAAAGCUCGUAGUUGAACUUCGAACGUGGCUGGGCGGUUCCGCCUACACCGGGUGUGUACUUGUCUUGGCCGUGUAACUCUUUCUUGGUGAAGCCCGGCAUGGCCCUUUA